This 188-nucleotide ribosomal RNA is filed under the name uncultured bacterium. RNAcentral describes it as "partial 16S ribosomal RNA". It matches the Rfam family "Bacterial small subunit ribosomal RNA", at positions 327 to 507 of the family's 1533-position model. The record is from RNAcentral.
GGUCGACGAUUCCUACGGGAGGCAGCAGUGGGGAAUAUUGCACAAUGGGCGCAAGCCUGAUGCAGCCAUGCCGCGUGUAUGAAAAAGGCCUUCGGGUUGUAAAGUACUUUCAGCAGUGAGGAAGGCGGAGUCGUUAAUAGCGGCCUCGUUUGACGUUAGCUGCAGAAGAAGCACCGGCUAACUCCGUG